RNAcentral lists this ribosomal RNA (563 nucleotides) under uncultured Dietzia sp. RNAcentral's name for it is "bacterial SSU rRNA". It matches the Rfam family "Bacterial small subunit ribosomal RNA", at positions 342 to 916 of the family's 1533-position model. Lineage: Bacteria; Bacillati; Actinomycetota; Actinomycetes; Mycobacteriales; Dietziaceae. The record is from RNAcentral.
CGGGAGGCAGCAGUGGGGAAUAUUGCACAAUGGGCGAAAGCCUGAUGCAGCGACGCCGCGUGGGGGAUGACGGUCUUCGGAUUGUAAACCCCUUUCAGUAGGGACGAAGCGCAAGUGACGGUACCUGCAGAAGAAGCACCGGCUAACUACGUGCCAGCAGCCGCGGUAAUACGUAGGGUGCGAGCGUUGUCCGGAAUUACUGGGCGUAAAGAGCUCGUAGGCGGUUUGUCACGUCGUCUGUGAAAUCCCUCGGCUUAACCGGGGGCGUGCAGGCGAUACGGGCAGACUUGAGUACUACAGGGGAGACUGGAAUUCCUGGUGUAGCGGUGAAAUGCGCAGAUAUCAGGAGGAACACCGGUGGCGAAGGCGGGUCUCUGGGUAGUAACUGACGCUGAGGAGCGAAAGCAUGGGUAGCGAACAGGAUUAGAUACCCUGGUAGUCCAUGCCGUAAACGGUGGGCGCUAGGUGUGGGGUCCUUCCACGGACUCCGUGCCGUAGCUAACGCAUUAAGCGCCCCGCCUGGGGAGUACGGCCGCAAGGCUAAAACUCAAAUGAAUUGACGG